This 356-nucleotide long non-coding RNA is filed under the name Prunus persica (peach). Its description in RNAcentral is "long non-coding RNA (PPER_LNC000703)". The record is from RNAcentral. Lineage: Eukaryota; Viridiplantae; Streptophyta; Magnoliopsida; Rosales; Rosaceae.
UGGAAUUGGGUUUUUGGGAAGAACUACGUGUGGCUUGAUCCCUCAAGGAGGGUACGUAGGCAGCCUAAGGUUAUUAGGUGCAGCCGCAGACUAAAUGUUAGACACGUUGUUUUAGAGCGAUUGAUUCGGACCUUGUUGUUGGUCCUGAAAUUUAGGUGAAAAUGUGAUUGUGUUAGGAGGCUAAAACCUCAUAUAUUGAAAUGUGAAGGGUUAAGUGAUGCAUGUUGAAAUUUAAUAGUCAUAAUUUAUAUUUGAAUUUAGUGUUUGCCUUGUUUAAGGCAUGAAUUGUUUUAUUAGCGUGUUUGGUAGUUUGUUGAGAAUUAUUGGAAGGCCGAAGGCCAUUUAUGUGAAUUUGC